Molecule: ribosomal RNA, 254 nt
Filed under: uncultured bacterium
Lineage: Bacteria
Description: partial 16S ribosomal RNA
Rfam family: Bacterial small subunit ribosomal RNA
Source: RNAcentral
UACGGGGGGAGCAAGCGUUGUUCGGAUUUACUGGGCGUAAAGGGCGCGUAGGCGGCCACCGCAAGUCGGUUGUGAAAUCUCUGGGCUUAACCCAGAAAGGUCAACCGAUACUGCGGGGCUAGAGUGCAGAAGGGGCAACUGGAAUUCUCGGUGUAGCGGUGAAAUGCGUAGAUAUCGGAAGGAACGCCGGUGGCGAAAGCGACGUGCUGGACCUCUUCUGACGCUGAGGCGCGAAAGCCAGGGGAGCAAACGGG